AUUUUUAUUUAUUUUUAAUCUCCUCUUCCAAACAUCUAAUGAAGCCCGUAAGAGGUGCAACGCAACAGAAAAACGCCGCACCGCUCAAAGACUUUCUUUUCCCUUCUCUCUCUCCCCCUACCAGAUCCCUUUUACUAUCUCUCUGUUCUUGCGUUUUACUCUUUUGCUUCCAAAUAUUAAAGAAUGUAAUCAAAUCUUUACCACAUACUUUCAUACAUGAAAGACCUAUUACUAGAAGAGAAAGCAAGAGUAAAUUUGUUUUCCUCUCGUGCAAACAGCCCAGUGAAGGAUGAGGCGCAAAGAAGAAGUUUACACAAUAUUUCAGAUUUUCUGAGAAGAGGACGAUGAACCAAAGAGAUUGUGAGAUUUGUUUGUACAUGUUUUUGUCAAAGGGUUGAAAGAUGUGAUGCAGUGAAAAUAAGAUUUGUACUGAAUUAUCAGAUAUUCAACCACUAGAAGAUGGAAUCUUGAUAAGCAAGAUCUUUGUGUCUUAUAUGUGUUUACCAUAUUUUUUUAGCAGAUUAACAUCUGUAUUUACUGCCAGGACUACUCAAUUUCAGGAUGAAGAUUUUCAUUGGACAGAACUCAAAAAAGUGUGAAGUAUAAUGUAAACUCUUUGUACAUAGAUGUUCUAAAUUUACUCAUAUACUUUAUGCUAUUUCAAUAUUCACCUUGAUAAAACAAUUACUUCAGUUUUAUCUCUAGCAUUGUCUUCAUACAUUUGUCCUCAUCUUAUUCAUCUCUAAUAAGAAUGAAUUUGUGAGUUUUCCUCUUUAUUUUAUAGUAGAAGUAUUUUAGUGAAGUGAUGGUCAUAAAUGCAUAGCAACUGGCAAGUUAUAGAAUAGAAUUCUCUAUGCCCUUAGGUUGUUAUAUUUUUCAUAGUAAGUAUAUGUACUUCAUGCAUA
Molecule: long non-coding RNA, 905 nt
Organism: Solanum dulcamara
Lineage: Eukaryota; Viridiplantae; Streptophyta; Magnoliopsida; Solanales; Solanaceae
Exons: 3
Source: RefSeq, a predicted model, not a curated record